UACGUAGGGUGCGAGCGUUAAUCGGAAUUACUGGGCGUAAAGCGUGCGCAGGCGGUUUUGUAAGCCAGAUGUGAAAUCCCCGGGCUUAACCUGGGAAUGGCAUUUGGGACUGCAAGGCUGGAGUGUGGCAGAGGAGGCUGGAAUUCCUGGUGUAGCAGUGAAAUGCGUAGAUAUCAGGAGGAAUACCGAUGGCGAAGGCAGGUCUCUGGGCUGACACUGACGCUCAGGCACGAAAGCGUGGGGAGCAAACAGG
Molecule: ribosomal RNA, 253 nt
Filed under: uncultured bacterium
Lineage: Bacteria
Description: partial 16S ribosomal RNA
Rfam family: Bacterial small subunit ribosomal RNA
Source: RNAcentral